GUUUAAGAGACAGCAGUAGCCACGGUAAUACGGAGGGUGCAAGCGUUAAUCGGAAUUACUGGGCGUAAAGCGCACGCAGGCGGUCUGACAAGUCAGAUGUGAAAUCCCCGGGCUUAACCUGGGAACUGCAUUUGAAACUGUCAGGCUGGAGUCUUGUAGAGGGGGGUAGAAUUCCAGGUGUAGCGGUGAAAUGCGUAGAGAUCUGGAGGAAUACCGGUGGCGAAGGCGGCCCCCUGGACAAAGACUGACGCUCAGGUGCGAAAGCGUGGGGAGCAAACAGGAUUAGAGACCCCUGUAGUCCCUGUUUCUUAUAC
Molecule: ribosomal RNA, 314 nt
Filed under: uncultured bacterium
Lineage: Bacteria
Description: partial 16S ribosomal RNA
Rfam family: Bacterial small subunit ribosomal RNA
Source: RNAcentral